GGGUCAGUAGGUUGGUCGUGCCACCGGUACGUACUGGUCUCACUGAUUCCUCCUUCCUGAAGAACCGUAAUGCCAUUAAUUUGGUGUUGCGGGGAAACAGGACUGUUACUUUGAAAAAAUUAGAGUGUUUAAAGCAAGCUAACGCUUUAAUAAAUUAGCAUGGAAUAAUGAAAUAGGACGAUCGAUCCUAUUUUGUUAGUUUCUAGGAUUGACGUA
Molecule: ribosomal RNA, 216 nt
Filed under: Glomeromycotina sp.
Lineage: Eukaryota; Fungi; Glomeromycota
Description: partial small subunit ribosomal RNA
Rfam family: Eukaryotic small subunit ribosomal RNA (bases 40-216)
Source: RNAcentral